Molecule: ribosomal RNA, 520 nt
Filed under: Streptomyces rishiriensis
Lineage: Bacteria; Bacillati; Actinomycetota; Actinomycetes; Kitasatosporales; Streptomycetaceae
Description: bacterial SSU rRNA
Rfam family: Bacterial small subunit ribosomal RNA
Source: RNAcentral
UGCAGUCGACGAUGACCACUUCGGUGGGGAUUAGUGGCGAACGGGUGAGUAACACGUGGGCAAUCUGCCCUUCACUCUGGGACAAGCCCUGGAAACGGGGUCUAAUACCGGAUAACACUUCCAUUCGCAUGGGUGGAGGUUAAAAGCUCCGGCGGUGAAGGAUGAGCCCGCGGCCUAUCAGCUUGUUGGUGAGGUAAUGGCUCACCAAGGCGACGACGGGUAGCCGGCCUGAGAGGGCGACCGGCCACACUGGGACUGAGACACGGCCCAGACUCCUACGGGAGGCAGCAGUGGGGAAUAUUGCACAAUGGGCGAAAGCCUGAUGCAGCGACGCCGCGUGAGGGAUGACGGCCUUCGGGUUGUAAACCUCUUUCAGCAGGGAAGAAGCGAAAGUGACGGUACCUGCAGAAGAAGCGCCGGCUAACUACGUGCCAGCAGCCGCGGUAAUACGUAGGGCGCAAGCGUUGUCCGGAAUUAUUGGGCGUAAAGAGCUCGUAGGCGGUCUGUCACGUCGGAUGUG